AUUGAACGCUGGCGGCAGGCUUAACACAUGCAAGUCGAGCGGGGUGAUGGUGCUUGCACUAUCACUUAGCGGCGGACGGGUGAGUAAUGCUUAGGAAUCUGCCUAUUAGUGGGGGACAACAUCUCGAAAGGGAUGCUAAUACCGCAUACGUCCUACGGGGGAAAGCAGGGGAUCACUUGUGACCUUGCGCUAAUAGAUGAGCCUAAGUCGGAUUAGCUAGUUGGGGGGGUAAAGGCCUACCAAGGCGACGAUCUGUAGCGGGUCUGAGAGGAUGAUCCGCCAAACGGGGACGGAGACACGGCCCAGACGCCUACGGAAGGCAGCAGUGGGGAAUAUUGGACAAUGGGGGGAACCCUGAUCCAGCCAUGCCGCGUGUGUGAAGAAGGCCUUAUGGUUGUAAAGCACUUUAAGCGAGGAGGAGGCUCUUUUGGUUAAUACCCAAGAUGAGUGGACGUUACUCGCAGAAUAAGCACCGGCUAACUCUGUGCCAGCCGCCGCGGUAA
This 503-nucleotide ribosomal RNA is filed under the name uncultured bacterium. RNAcentral's name for it is "partial 16S ribosomal RNA". It matches the Rfam family "Bacterial small subunit ribosomal RNA", at positions 30 to 523 of the family's 1533-position model. The record is from RNAcentral.